Non-coding RNA from Ictidomys tridecemlineatus (thirteen-lined ground squirrel), 888 nucleotides. Lineage: Eukaryota; Metazoa; Chordata; Mammalia; Rodentia; Sciuridae. The record is from RefSeq and is a predicted model, not a curated record.
GCUCUGUUCUGCCCUCAUUACAUAACAGGAAGCGGGGAGUGGGGAGGGGGGACCACAUACAAAUAGAAAUCAUACUACUUUGGACAUUUAUCUUUGGAUUUCACUCCCAAGUAAAGACAGUACAAGGAACAAAAGAAAACAUUCUUAAUUGUCCUUUUAUUAUUUAACAAAAUGAAGCACUAUAACCCACGUUGUCAAAGGCAAGACCAUUUUUAGGCAUCUUUCUCCUCUCCCUGUUGUGCUUCUCCUGGGAGAAUAAAGUCAUCACGGUUUCUUACACAGUUUCUUUUGUCAAGGCAAAGGAAAAUUAUUAAGGUCUUAUCUGACCAGGGACCCUCUUAUUUGGGCCAUCUGUCUUUUUGUGCUUUCUUCAGGGAAUACAAGAAAGAACUUUUUUUCCCCCCCUCUCAUUAAGUGUUUUAUGAGAUUGUGUGUUAAGCCAUAUUUUAAGAAUUUGAACAAGCAGAGACCUUGCCACUUUGAACAUUUUUUUUUUCUUUUCCUUUUGUGCUGGCCAUUUCAGUUGGAGAAAUCACACGUUUUUUUCCCUCUAAUAAUAUUAAGGGAAAGGCUAUCUGAAGAUUACUGCUCUCAAGGCCACUUUUGCUCUCCUAUUAUUGUUCUUACUUCAAGGAUGUGAUCUCAGGAUUGAUGUACACAGAAGCCAAACCUGCCAGGUGGACACUCACAGAAAAUUAAAUGGCAUUCACCCACUCCCCAAAUGGCCAAUUGAAGCUAUGCCGAGAAACUUUUUUCUUCAGAAACAUUUUAUAAGAUUAAUUCUUCAUGAAACAUGUAGUGGAAAGCACUUACUUUUAUGGGUUAGAUCUGGAAUAUCCCCCAAAGGAUCUUGUGUUGAAAGCUUGCUCUCCAGUUCAGCAAUAUUCA